GAAAACCAGUCGGGCAGCCACCUUCCAAGCCACCCCAACGCCACCUCAGGCCACCCCGACCCUCCGGACCGGACCCAGCAGCACCGGCCAGCUCCCGCCAUCAACCCCAGCCCGUCCGCCGCCCCUGCUGCUGUCUGGAGCCGCCGGAAAAUGCUGGAAAAAGCAGCAGUUUUGGCAGAUUUUCCAACCUCAGUUUCUCCCUCAUCCGGCCACCAAAUCAGUCGUGUGAGGCACCAAGAGUCCAACUAACCCACAAGAGGGACCGUCGAAGGGUCCAGCUAGCUCGGACCAGCUGCCAUAGAAGAACAAAGGAAACCACUCGGGCCAUCAUCUCAGCCUCCGCCCCACCACCAAAGUGUAGGAUCUCGUUGUAAUUUCCCGGUAGUUCUGUAAAUUUGUAUAGAAAUGCUCUGAUAUCCUGUUGAACAUGAGAAACUGGAGUUGAGAUCUGUUGAUUGUGUUAAUCUGGCGGUUGGUGUGUUAUUUAAGAUUGUUUGACAGGUGGAAGAUUUUGGGUAUGGUCA
This is a long non-coding RNA of Prunus dulcis (almond), 524 nucleotides long. RefSeq lists it as uncharacterized. The record is from RefSeq and is a predicted model, not a curated record. The transcript has 3 exons. Lineage: Eukaryota; Viridiplantae; Streptophyta; Magnoliopsida; Rosales; Rosaceae.